GCCCAAGAUGGACAACUUCGAUGAUCGUGUGUCGGAUGAGAAGGUACGCAUAGCUGCUAAGUUCGUCACUCAUGCACCCCCAGGGGAAUUUAAUGAAGUAUUUAAUGAUGUUCGGCUACUACUUAACAAUGACAAUCUCCUCAGGGAAGGGGCAGCACAUGCAUUUGCCUAGUAUAACAUGGAUCAGUUCACGCCAAUGAAGAUAGAAGGAUAUGAAGAUCAGGUCUUAAUUACAGAGGACAGUGACCUGGGUAAAAGCAGAUUUCUAGAUCCAAGAAACAAAAUUUCCUUUAAAUUUGAUCACCUACAGAAAGAAGCAAGUGACCCCCAGCCAGAAGAAGUUGAUGGAGGUGUGAACUCUUGGAGAGAAUCUUGUGAUAGUGCUUUCAGAGCCUGUGUGAAAGACCAUUAUUCCAACAGCUUCUGUACUGUUUAUGCUAAAACUAUCAAUGGGCAACAGACUAUUAUUACAUGUAUUGAAAGCCACCAGUUUCAGCCUAAAAACUUCUGGAAUGGUCCUUGGAGAUCGGAGUGGAAGUUCACCAUCACACCACCUACAGCCCAGGUGGUUGGAGUGCUUAAGACUCAGGUUCACUAUUAUGAUGAUGGCAAUGUUCAGUUGGUUAGUCAUAAAGAUGUAUAGGAUUCACUAACCGUUUUGAAUGAAGCCCAAACUGCCAAGGAGUUUAUUAAAAUCAUAGAGAAUGCAGAAAAUGAGUAUCAGACAGCAAUUAGUGAAAAGCAUCAAACAAAGUCGGAUACCACAUGCAAGGCCUUGGCGCCAGCAGCUUCCAGUUACCCCCACCACAAUUGCCUGGAACAAAAUACUUGGCUACAAGAUUGGCAAAUAAAUGCAGAAUGCUUAAAGGCUGAAUGUAGACUUCUCCAGUAUGUGGAAAGACAAGGAUUCAAUGUGUGGUCAUAUGAUAAAUAAGUGAUUUAUAAACAAGAGUGAUAUUUUGCUAGGGCUUUCAAAGUUAACUGGUUUUCUAGCCUCAUGGAAUACUGCGGAACCUAUAGUGUUGCGUUGAUUCUUUUGUGUUUUCUGCGUUAUAAUUUUUGGUUAUUGCUGUAUCUAUGUGUAAAUCUUUUUUGUUUGUUUGUUUGUUAAUUCUGCCACAUUUAAUAUUGGAGAGAGAAAGAUCUAUCCUAGAGACAUUUUACUGUUUAAAAAAGUUUCCUAGCCAUGAAUCCCUGCUACUGAUUUAGACAGGUAUUAUGGUCAUUACUUUUCACCCCUGUCCUUCUGGGUACUUCUGGUACUUCAGUGGUUUUUACUGAUCACCAACACCUAAAGAGGCUGUGCUGCAAUCUAUAGCUAAAUGGAAGACACAUUCAUCCUUCUCCCUCUGACUGCUUUGAUCAUCAUUUAUUGCAUCUCAUAACUGUAAUUUUCCAAAGUUUGGAUUGGGACUUUUUAAGUCCUAUUUGGAGGGCAAAGGAAGUGCCAGUUUCUCUGGGGAACUUGUUUUUAAAUCCAAAGACUUGAACCACAUUCCCUGCACAUAAACAUGUUUGCUUUUAUCCCUUCUCUCAUUGUCUCCUUCCCAUUUUAAUACCAUUGUAAUUAUAGAUAUCUGCUU
Cebus imitator (Panamanian white-faced capuchin) is the source of this 1583-nucleotide RNA transcript. It is a transcript of the gene named F-actin-capping protein subunit alpha-1-like, with no coding region annotated. The transcript has a single exon. NCBI's taxonomy places the organism in Eukaryota, Metazoa, Chordata, Mammalia, Primates, Cebidae. The record is from RefSeq and is a predicted model, not a curated record.